This 301-nucleotide long non-coding RNA is filed under the name Trifolium pratense (red clover). Its description in RNAcentral is "long non-coding RNA (TPRA_LNC007006)". The record is from RNAcentral. Lineage: Eukaryota; Viridiplantae; Streptophyta; Magnoliopsida; Fabales; Fabaceae.
UGGAACAAAUAGUCAAAGCCACCAUAUAUGAAUCAUAUUCUAUAAUCAAAACUUUUUUUAACAUUUCUCAUGAGCAAUAUUGUCUACAAGUAUAAUUAGGUAUGCCUCCAACUCUUAUUGAAAAUAAUAAAAUAAGGGAUACAUCAAAAAUAAAAAACAAAGUGACUAUAAAAUUGCAACUCAUAUAAAGAAAACUAAAAUAUUAUAUUAUUACACUAAUAAAAUAAAAAAUGAUACAUCCUUUCAAACUUAUGAAAUAUUAUAAGAGAUCUAUUACAUUAAAAUGUAAACAAACUACGAU